This 406-nucleotide RNase P RNA is filed under the name Gordoniibacillus kamchatkensis. RNAcentral's name for it is "Paenibacillus sp. VKM B-2647 bacterial RNase P". It matches the Rfam family "Bacterial RNase P class A". From Rfam's summary of the family: Ribonuclease P (RNase P) is a ubiquitous endoribonuclease, found in archaea, bacteria and eukarya as well as chloroplasts and mitochondria. The record is from RNAcentral. Lineage: Bacteria; Bacillati; Bacillota; Bacilli; Caryophanales; Paenibacillaceae.
AAAGUUUGACAGACAAUCGCUGGCGGCUUCGGCCGCGAGAGGAAAGUCCGGGCUCCGUAGGGCAGGGUGCUGGAUAACGUCCAGUCAGCGCGAGCUGAAGGAUAGUGCCACAGAAACGGACCGCCGAUGGCGCUUAGGCGCACAGGCAAGGGUGGAACCGUGGUGUAAGAGACCACGAGGGACGCUGGUGACUUCGUCCCUGGUAAACCCCACUCGGAGCAAGACCUAAGAGGAACGCACGCCCGCUUUGCGCGGGCACCCCUUGCCCGGGGCGCGUUCGGGUUGGUCGCUGGAGCCGUGCAGUAAUGCACGGCCUAGAUAGAUGAUUGUCGCUUCAAUGGUGGCAGGGCUCACCCCCGUUACGACCACCGGAAGUACAGAACCCGGCUUAUGGCAAACUUUCCAC